CAGUCGCCGCGGUAAUACGAAGGGUGCAAGCGUUACUCGGAAUUACUGGGCGUAAAGCGUGCGUAGGUGGUGGUUUAAGUCCGUUGUGAAAGCCCUGGGCUCAACCUGGGAAUUGCAGUGGAUACUGGGUCACUAGAGUGUGGUAGAGGAUAGUGAAUUUCCGGUGUAGCAGUGAAAUGCGUAGAGAUCGGAAGGAACAUCAGUGGCGAAGGCGGCCAUCUGGGACAACACUGACGCUGAGGCACGAAAGCGUGGGGAGCAAACAGGAUUAGAUACCCCCGUAGUCCCUGUCUCUUAUACA
RNAcentral lists this ribosomal RNA (301 nucleotides) under uncultured bacterium. Its description in RNAcentral is "partial 16S ribosomal RNA". It matches the Rfam family "Bacterial small subunit ribosomal RNA", at positions 509 to 808 of the family's 1533-position model. The record is from RNAcentral.